UAGCUUAACAUAACCCUAAAGCAUAACACUGAAGCUGUUAAGAUGGCCCACCAUGUACCCAAGGACA
This 67-nucleotide transfer RNA is filed under the name Sarothrura rufa (red-chested flufftail). RNAcentral describes it as "partial tRNA-Phe". The record is from RNAcentral. Lineage: Eukaryota; Metazoa; Chordata; Aves; Gruiformes; Rallidae.